GGAAGAAUCAAGAAGUAGAAAGCACAUUUAGUAUUAUCAAUAAAAUUGUAUGGUCUACCAAGGUAUUGCUGAUUGUUUAAGCAUGCCGCAUUUGUUGUUACAUCAGACUUUCAUUAAUUUUCUUGUUAGUCAUAUUGAGUCUAAUUUAACGACAGAGCAAUAAAACGCCUAAGAUUUUAGCUUUGUAUUGAGUGGAUCGAACAAAUGUUAAUUUUUAUUCCUCAUAGUUUAGCAUGAACUUUGAUAUGGUAAUUCACUCGCUAGCUUUUCCUUUGAUGUCUGUUCUAAAUAUCUCAAACUGUAAAACAUAACCAAUCUUAAAUUUUUUAAUCAUUUAUCCAUCGUGCUUUAAUUGUGCCUUCUUAGUCAUGAGAUUAAUCAAAAAUAUUAAAGAGCAAGCUGUAGGAUUUAGGUGCAAGAAAAAGGUAAAAUAAAAUCAAUAAAAAAAAAUGUAUAACAAAGCUAAAACAUAGAAAC
Molecule: unclassified non-coding RNA, 477 nt
Filed under: Hevea brasiliensis (rubber tree)
Lineage: Eukaryota; Viridiplantae; Streptophyta; Magnoliopsida; Malpighiales; Euphorbiaceae
Source: RNAcentral